Molecule: ribosomal RNA, 612 nt
Filed under: Stereostratum corticioides
Lineage: Eukaryota; Fungi; Basidiomycota; Pucciniomycetes; Pucciniales; Pucciniaceae
Description: eukaryotic LSU rRNA
Rfam family: 5.8S ribosomal RNA (bases 191-344)
Source: RNAcentral
AAAAAAUAGAGUGCACUUAAUUGUGGCUCAACCCUUUUAAAUCCCUUCACACCAAAUUCUCAAAACUUGAUUGCAUGAUGUAACAGUUAUUGUAAUCAGGUAUAUGUAGCUUCAAUGCUACAUUACCCCCCCUUUCUUUUUCUUUAUACACAUGUUUUUGAAAGAAUGUAAAUUAAUUUAAUUUAAAUAUAACUUUUAACAAUGGAUCUCUAGGCUCUCACAUCGAUGAAGAACACAGUGAAAUGUGAUAAGUAAUGUGAAUUGCAGAAUUCAGUGAAUCAUUGAAUCUUUGAACGCAUCUUGUGCCUUUUGGUAUUCCAAAAAGCACACCUGUUUGAGUGUCAUGAAACCCUCUCAUUAACCAAUUUAUUAAUAUGAAUUGUUUAAUGGAUGUUGAGUGUUGCUGUAAUUAGCUCACUUUAAAUAUAUAAGUCUUUUAUUUUUUAACAAAUUGGAUUGACUUGGUGUAAUAAUUUUUUGAACAUCAAGGAAAGUAGCAAUACUGCCAUUUUAUUAAGGAAGACUCCUAAAUACACACAUAUUAUUCUUUAAGACCUCAAAUCAGGUGGGACUACCCGCUGAACUUAAGCAUAUCAAUAAGCGGAGGGAAAA